UUGUAAGCCUCCUUUGAGGCUGCAAUAAGGUCUCCUGAAGCCUUCUUUUCUCCAUCGUUAACAGCACGUUGCCCGGUCACAUCCAGCCUCUCACCCAGCGGCAUUCCCAAGUCCUUCUGGGCAGGGCUGCUCUGCAGCCCUUCAGCCGCAGCCUGCGGUGAUGCUGGGGCUGGUCCCGACCCGGGCGAGGGGCCUUGCGUUCGGCUUUGUCCAACCUGCUGACGGUCCCGUGCUUGUGGAGCUCGUCCAGGCCCCUCCGGUGCCUCAGGCACGUCAGCCUCGGGUGUAAGCCGGGAGCGCUGGGGCUGCCCUGAGGCAGAGAGGGCACAGCUGAGCAGGGCCGCUCCCCGGGACACGGUGGCCGAGCGGAGGAGUGACGAGGAGCAGGACGAGUUUUGGGGUGCGACACCGGCCGCAGUGUCCCCGGGCCGGGCCGCCCGAGGCGGGGACACCCGCAGGUCCCGGCAGAGCCUCCAGAGGGCGCUCCCGGCCCCCUUUUGGAGGCGCUCCGGCCCGCGGAUCCCGGCGAGCUCCCAGAGCUUGUCCCGGCUCCCAGCCGGCCUGAAAGGCAUCAACACGGGCAGCAGAUCUCCCAGGAAAAAACGGCAGUGCAUAGGAAAGAAAUAAGGGUGUUCCUCUUGGAGAGCUCCAGCUGGAGUGGAAAGACUGUCUCAGGAGCUGGAGCUGAAUAGAAGAGAGACAAAAGAGGAGAAUGAUGACUCCUGAGGUCUGAUCCCAGCUCCUCUAGCAAGCAGGGCUACGGACUUCAGAUAAGGAACCAUUACGGUGACAUGUGUACACAUGGAUCAAGAUACCAGUAAUCAAACGUUCUGCUUCUUGAGAGACCCUGUGCAGCUGCCAUCACCAGAGGGGAGCAGAGAACAGCUUCUGCCUAAAGGAACACAAAGACGAACAUUUUUAUUAACAAUCCAAGCACUAGAAAUGGAAAAAACAAGGAGAAAUAAACCCAGGUCAGUCUUCCAAAUGUCUGUGAACUGGGAGACUCCUUAGUGACCCCACCCAGAACUCUAUCACUGCAGUUCCUGUGGUAGCUUAGGAUCUAAAAUAUAUAUUUCAGGAGGCUUUUUUCAGAGCACUUUUUUUUUUUUUUUUUUGGAAGCUGAUGAAUGAAUUGACAAAAUCAGCAUAUGAGCUGUGAGAUAUUUAUUCAUUGACGCCUACCAAAUUGGACUUUCCUGCAAACUUGAGAGGAUGGCUCUGUUGUCUCUCUUUCCUCUGCACCUGAGACAGCUAAAUGCACCAUGAAGACCUUACUGAGUUCCUGCUCCAAGCCUCAUCCUGGUCAACACAGAGAUUCCUUUUGACCUUUCUGGAAGUUGGAUUAGGCCUUUAAAAGUCAUACAUUUUAAAACAUUCCAUGAAGGUUAUGUUUGCUUUAAAACCACGAUGAAGUAAAUGCAAAACUGUAUUAAUAUUUAACAUUGGCUUAUAAAAACUAGGAACUUGUAGUCAGGACAGCUGGUAAAAGUUUAAUUCACAUCAUCGUUUCAAAAUGAAAAUGCAGAGAAGGACAGAAUAUCACAUUUUCUCUUUCUUAAUCUAUUUGUUUUUCUUUUAUAUUCUGUUUUGUUAUUUCUAUAGCCAUAUCUGUUAAAUAGCCAUGAAAAAUUUUUUUAAUUUAUGCAAAUUUUUUUAUUUGCUUUUCUGAUUUGCUGGUGGUACUGGUUAUACAUACAGAAAUCAAAACAGGAAAAAAAAAAGGGGUCAGAGGGAAAAAAAAAUAGAAUAGAUUAGUUAAAGUAAAAAAAAACAAAACCCAACAAAUACAGUGCUUUUGGACUGUAUUUAGGAUUUGGCCAGAAGUCGAAUGUCUUGAUAGAUGGUUCUGAGUGCACAGUUUUAUUGCUGGUACACAGCACACUUUGUUCCUUUUGUUUGACUGAACUUGCCAACUUAGGAAAUUAGUGACAUGGGCAUUCAAAACGCUGGACAAGUGGUCAGACUCUGAUAUACAUAUUCAUACCCCAGUGGUAAAUGACGUCAGGAAGUUUCAGAUGCAGGAAAAAUGCAUUCUUUCGUCCAGCACAGCUUUAAUAUAAGUUUCAUAAGCACUUUCACCGUUCGAGCAAGAGUGCCUCUAAGAUAGCACACAGGGGAGACAUCAUUUAAAGAAAUGUUUCUUUGCUUGAACCAGAAGUCCAAAUCUGCUCAGUUCAUUUAAAAUGUCUUUUUCCUCUAGAAUAAAUGAAUAAGCAGUUCCUUUUGUGGUUUUUGC
Molecule: long non-coding RNA, 2236 nt
Filed under: Cyanistes caeruleus (blue tit)
Lineage: Eukaryota; Metazoa; Chordata; Aves; Passeriformes; Paridae
Description: lncRNA (ENSCCEG00000021748.1)
Source: RNAcentral